This 617-nucleotide long non-coding RNA is filed under the name Anas platyrhynchos platyrhynchos (common mallard). RNAcentral's name for it is "lncRNA (ENSAPLG00000030473.1)". Lineage: Eukaryota; Metazoa; Chordata; Aves; Anseriformes; Anatidae. The record is from RNAcentral.
CUUCUCAGUCUGUGGAAACUAGUGAGGACACAUCUAAGAAGCUACAGAACAAGAUGGAAAGCCUGCAAAACCAGGUGGAAACGUUACAGAGAAAAAGCCAAGCUAUGUCAUCAAUGAUCAGAAUUCAGGAAAUGAAGAUAGAGAAAGCAAAGGAAAAGGAGAAGUUGUCAAAAUGAAGACUUAUGUGCAUUAAUGAUUAUUUUCACUUCAGUAAGCUCCAAUUCAUGUGGAUGUCCCAGAGCUACCGAGUAUUACCAGUUCAAGCAGGAAACCUGGAUGUGGCUCCUGUUAACGCUGAGAUAUCAAAAUGUUUUGAAGCACAUGCCUACAACUGCAAGACUGAACAGAUUUCAUCCUAUACCAUAAUUCCUUCAAGCAAAACGGACUCAUCAAAUGGUAUUUUUGUUGUAAUUUUCAUUACAUGUUAUCAUCCUUGGUUUGUAGUACAAAAUCUGCCCUGGGCUUAAGUUUGUAAGCAUAGCACUCAUAUUUUGACUCAGAGCAGUGUAUGUUCCUGGAUUGUUUGGGACUUUUUAUCCUUCCUCCAUCCGUGUCCCUCUUAUAAAAACUGAAAUAGGUGAGGUUUAGGUGAGAAAAAAUGCAUUAUGAAACUACAC